RNAcentral lists this ribosomal RNA (492 nucleotides) under uncultured bacterium. RNAcentral's name for it is "partial 16S ribosomal RNA". It matches the Rfam family "Bacterial small subunit ribosomal RNA", at positions 29 to 507 of the family's 1533-position model. The record is from RNAcentral.
AGUGAACGCUGGCGGUAGGCCUAACACAUGCAGGUCGAACGGCAGCACAGUAAGAGCUUGCUCUUACGGGUGGCGAGUGGCGGACGGGUGAGGAAUACAUCGGAAUCUACUUUUUCGUGGGGGAUAACGUAGGGAAACUUACGCUAAUACCGCAUACGACCUACGGGUGAAAGCAGGGGAUCUUCGGACCUUGCGCGAUUGAAUGAGCCGAUGUCGGAUUAGCUAGUUGGCGGGGUAAAGGCCCACCAAGGCGACGAUCCGUAGCUGGUCUGAGAGGAUGAUCAGCCACAUGGGAACUGAGACACGGUCCAGACUCCUACGGGAGGCAGCAGUGGGGAAUAUUGGACAAUGGGCGCAAGCCUGGUCCAGCCAUACCGCGUGUGUGAAGAAGGCCUUCGGGUUGUAAAGCCCUUUUGUUGGGAAAGAAAAGCAGCAGGUUAAUACCCCGCGGUUCUGACGGUACCCAAAGAAUAAGCACCGGCUAACUUCGUG